RNAcentral lists this ribosomal RNA (492 nucleotides) under uncultured bacterium. RNAcentral describes it as "partial 16S ribosomal RNA". It matches the Rfam family "Bacterial small subunit ribosomal RNA", at positions 30 to 507 of the family's 1533-position model. The record is from RNAcentral.
AUUGAACGCUGGCGGUAGGCCUAACACAUGCAAGUCGAACGGCAGCACAGUAAGAGCUUGCUCUUACGGGUGGCGAGUGGCGGACGAGUGAGGAAUACAUCGGAAUCUACUUUUUCGUGGGGGAUAACGUAGGGAAACUUACGCUAAUACCGCAUACGACCUACGGGUGAAAGCAGGGGAUCUUCGGACCUUGCGCGAUUGAAUGAGCCGAUGUCGGAUUAGCUAGUUGGCGGGGUAAAGGCCCACCAAGGCGACGAUCCGUAGCUGGUCUGAGAGGAUGAUCAGCCACACUGGAACUGAGACACGGUCCAGACUCCUACGGGAGGCAGCAGUGGGGAAUAUUGGACAAUGGGCGCAAGCCUGAUCCAGCCAUACCGCGUGGGUGAAGAAGGCCUUCGGGUUGUAAAGCCCUUUUGUUGGGAAAGAAAAGCAGCAGGUUAAUACCCCGCUGUUCUGACGGUACCCAAAGAAUAAGCACCGGCUAACUUCGUG